AUUAUCUCAUUAAACCUCUACGUUUUGUCAUAAUCGGAGGAUCUACUCUCUUACGAGAGGCUCUAGUUUCAAGAGCGUUUUAUGUGCGAUCAUGCACCAGAAUCUUCUGGUACCAGGGCGUCUAUGCCAAGAUCGGAGGCCAGCUUUUUCCAACUGCAAGCUGGCACGCAAAAGUGAAAAUGACCACCUGUCAUUAUUGUCCAGACCCACCUUGGACUAUUGAAACUUGGCGUGCCAGGUAAAGU
Molecule: long non-coding RNA, 245 nt
Organism: Carya illinoinensis
Lineage: Eukaryota; Viridiplantae; Streptophyta; Magnoliopsida; Fagales; Juglandaceae
Exons: 2
Source: RefSeq, a predicted model, not a curated record